AACUGUGUACUCUGUCACUAUCAGAUCUGAUAUGUGUGCACUGUAUUACAUCACUUCCCUCUGUCACUGUCAGACCUGAUCUGUGCACUGCCUUACAUCACUUUCCUCUGUCACUGUCAGACCUGAUGUAUGCACUGUAUUACAUCACUUCCCUCUGUCACUGUCAGACCUGGUGUGUACACUCUGUUACAUCACUUCCCUCUCUGCUGACAGACCUGAUGUACGUGCACUGUAUUGCAUCACUGCCUUCUGUCACCGUCAGACCUGGUGUGUGCACUGUAUUACAUCACUGCCCUCUCUGUCACUGUCGGACCUGAUGUGUGCACUGCUUUACAUCACUUCCCUCUCUGCUGACAGACCUGGUGUGUGCACUGUAUUACAUCACUUCCCUCUGUCACUGUCAGACCUGAUGUGUGCACUGUAUUACAUCACUGCCCUCUGUCACCAUCAGACCUAGUAUGUGCACUGUAUUAUAUCACUUACCCUUCCCUUUACUCCCCAAGUCCUCCCAAUUCUUCCCACUCCUUGUCACACUCAGAGCCUCUUUUUCUUCCAUUGUUCUCCACACACAAAUUAAUAAGUACAACCUACUGAGUCCAUUUAGUGGCACUCCUUGGGACUGUGAACACUAGUCUUUAGAAAGGAGGCUUCCAGAUAAAUCCAAUUCCGUUUUUCUAACUCUUGAGUCUAAGCUCAUGGGGUCUUCAGCAGUGGGAAUUUAUGCAGCUUCUGGAAGCAAGCAGGGCUAUGGCGAUGGCGACGGUCCAUAUUAUUUUGGGAAUUGCUUGGGUUCCUCUGACCAACAACUUACAAG
Molecule: long non-coding RNA, 814 nt
Filed under: Rattus norvegicus (Norway rat)
Lineage: Eukaryota; Metazoa; Chordata; Mammalia; Rodentia; Muridae
Description: long non-coding RNA NONRATT022126
Source: RNAcentral